AAUUAUUUAAUUUCAUCUUCAUCCUAGAUUAAAGAAAUUAGCUAGACAUAAAAAAUAAUUAAACUAACUAAAAUAAAGAAAAGAAGAAGAUUAAAAAUAAAUAAGAAAUCUCUAUUUAAUUAACGAUCAUCCAACGAAAGUACAAUGAAGAAGUAAUUUAAUCUACUCCUACUCAUAUUCUAAACUAAUACAAUACCUAAUUCUUCUGUCUUUCUAAAACAAGAGAUCUAUUUAUAGGAAAAAUAAGUUUGAACCCUAAUUUAGAUUCAUUGAACUUGGACACUUUUGUUCCCUUUCCAUAUAGGUUUCAACUUCCUAGUGAGAAUCAACUUCUCAAAGAGAUCUUCUAAAUAAACUUUCUUUUCUCUUGUUGGAUUUAACUUGCACACCAAAAUUGUUCCACCUCCUUCCUUCUCCUUGCAAAAUUCUUCUUAGAUAUUCCUUACAUGAAUAAGAGCAUUAAAUAUCGCUUGAUCACCAAGAUUUUAACUUUAUUGCAACAAAUAUUAAAUUCUACAAAAUAAAAUAAAUCAUAUUAAUUUAAUAAACUGAUAUAAUUAAAAUGACAUAAUAAGGGAUAAUAAAAUAUAUGAUAUAUGUGUCUAUCACCAUUCAUCAUUAAAACUCACAUAUUACCUUGAUAAAUUCCUGAUCAAACAUAGCCUCUACUUCAAAGUCUGAUGCUACAUUUUCAACUAGCGGAAGUUCACUCUAAACAAAUAAAUAAUAAGAGAUGAAGUCAUGGAUAGUGGAUUGAAUUAACAAUGGAAAAUUCUAUAGGCCCACAUGCUUUAAAAAUUAAGCUAAAGAGAUACAUUAUGACUGUAACCAUGUGUAAUUUUUAUACAUGAAUCUUCAUUGCUACAUAUUUUUUUAGUAAAUUUUAGAAAUUUAUUCCUAAAAAUUAGAUUAACAACUUAUUUUAAUGUUUAAAUAAUAACCCAAAUCAAAGUAAAUUUCAGAUUCCAAUGAGGUAAUGCCACAAAGUACUUUCGUGUAACAGUAAAAACUCAAUCAUAACAAUAAAUAAAUAAAUAAAUAAAUAAAUAAAUAAAGUGGAGAAAUAACUUACAGCCUUGACAACUAAGCUGCAACGGGAGUGAGAAGAGAUAGAACUAGAUUGGAGGGGCUGGUUUUGCGGGGACCAUAGAAGAACGAGGAGGCGGAUGAGGAAUUGGGAAGGGUUAGGGUAUGGGAGAAAGAGGGCUUCAAUUUUGGGGAAAUGUAGGAUUUAGGGUUUGAGAGAAGGGUGGUUGUUGCAGCAGCAGCUAUGUAAGAAGCCAUGGAUUAAACAGCAGAGGAGAGGCAAGAGGAGGAGGAAGAAGAGUGAAAAUUAGUUUAGUUGUCUGCCUCUCACCCACACACUUUCUCUCUCUAAGACUAAAUAUCUUCUUCUCACUAUCUAUUGUAUUAUUCGUCAAAGGUGGAGAAAUAGUAAAUGAUUAUGUUGAUGGGAUGAUUAUGUUCGUGGAUGACUUAUUUUAAAAUGACUUAUAAGUCAUAUUAAAUGACUUAUGACCAGUUGGUAAGAUCUCCCAAGGUUUUUUUGGCCUUUCAAUAUCUCCUUUUUCAUCUGUAAGUGAGACUUGGAUAUCAGGUGGCAUAUUAGUGCAUACUUUAGAGAAACAUAAUGCAUAAAAAAUUGUAACCUAAUAUACCUCAAGGAAGAAAAAUGGCAUAAAAGGUUCUAAUAAACAAGCAAGAAGAUAGACUAGUCUCACUGCAGUUUUCAUAAUUAUAGAACAACAAGGUUUGUCUUCUUUGUAAAGCUUCCAGAAUUGGCUUUCCUGUAUAACAUUUUACAUAUGAAUAGUCUUAAGCAAUGAUAGAAGGGUAGCUCUAUAGCUUCCAUAAUAACUAAUAAUUUGACAUAAUUUUUUCAAACAUGAACAAAAAAAUUCAGUAGAAAGAGCCCAAGAAAAGGGCAUGCUAGGGCAUGCUAGUACAUGUUUUUAUAAAAUAGAAAACUAAACAAGUAUCCAAAACAGAGUGCUCUUGACUAUGUUGUUUCCUUAUUUAUGAAAAUGUUUGGCAUUAAUUAAGAAUGAGCCAAGAAAAAUUGCAUACUAUUGAAUACAUCCGCAAAAGUAAAAGCAAAAAACAAAAAGCAUGUUGUUGGGCAUCAACUAUUGAAUAUGCCACUCACGGAAAAGCACUCAUGGAUGGCAGAGUCACAAUUAACACAAAUUUAGUUACAUAUAGUCCAGAAGAUCCAGUUCACUCAAGGAAGUAUAACAUAUGCAAAGGCAGAAUGCAUGAUAUGCAUAUAAAUGCACUUAUUGCAUCCAUAGUAGUCUGCAUGCAUUAUUUCCAGUAUAGUAUAUAAAUAGCUUCUAAAUAUCGAGUUUCCAUUGAGAUCCUUGGUACUAAUUUACAACACCAAAAUAAAGUACACUUACACGUGAUAAGCUUUUCCAUGCCUGCUAUGGAAAGACUGGAAACAUAGAUCAACAAAAUUGGUUAGGAAUAGGCCUGUCAAUUCAUGCUAAGUACUAGAAGGCAAGAAAGGACAACUAAACAAUUAAGGAAAGAUGGUGUAAUAUUAGGUUUCUAAACUUUCGGUUACAACCACUCCCAACAAAGUGCAAGAAAAAAAUAAGUAUACCUCUUGUUGUCUCCUUACAAAAAUAUUUAUGUAACACGAACAAGGAGAAGUUGAAGCGUAUAAACCAAUAUUAAGAAAACCAACAAUUAAAUGAUAUACCAGAACAAAAUAUAUGCUUCAGUAUACAACAUGCCAAAUUACAGGUUUAUGCAUUACAUAGAUAGUUAGUUCAGUUAUAUAAAUACAAGCUUUUAACUUUUAGAAUAAGAGAAUUCUCAUCUGAUGGCUAAGCAAGGUAAAUUCAACAAAUUCCUCUUACAGGUGAAUUUAAGAAACUACAAAAGGUAAGAAUUGUUAAUUUUUUUAUUGAAUUCAUAUAAAUGCAUAUCUUACCUAAUCUUGAAAGGUUGAUAAAAAAGAAACCAUCGUGACACUAUGGCUUAGUAAAUUUAAAGAGGAUUAAUCACAUUAAACAAAUCAUAAAAAUUUGAAUUGAUGCAUCCAUAUGGAAGAACAGAUACUUCUAAGAUCGGAAGAUAUCUAUAUUGGAUAUAGAUAAGAUACCCAAUUCAGAUAUUCUUUGAUGUCUUGUCCAACAUUUUCCAAUGUUUACAUAAAUUGAAAUCAAAUUCUUCAUUUACAAAAAUGAGCACAAUACUUCACCAGCACUCGUAAGACCUCCCAACAAUACGAUAAUAUUAUGGCUUUCUUUUCAUGUCAAAAAAGAAUAAUUGUUAGAAAAAUACAAGAAGAAUUCCAUGAGUCAAAGGAGAGACUAUACCAUAGGAAUAUCCCAGGAAAGGGAAAAACAACACAACACAAGAAUGAAAUGUAUGGAUUCUAAUUGGCAACCAACUAGAUGUAGAAAAGAGGUGUGUGUAUCAUUUACUCUUUCAACAGUUCUACCUCCUCAUGUUCCUUGUUUUGAUUUUCAACUCAAUCCACAGCCUUGAAAUAUAAAAAUGAAAUGUAAUCAAAGACUAAAGGUUAACGUAUAUAAUUGCUCUAAUGGUGCAAAUUCAAGCUACAUUGGUCUAUCUUUCCUUUUGAUGGCUUUAUGUAUAUUAUUUUGAUUACUUCAAGAUUAUUAUUUUGAUUGCUCAAGAUUCCAGAUAGAUGUGAAUGGGAAUUUCAUACUUCACAGUAAUAAAUUAAUGAUACAACAAAAAGAUUAGAAAAUAGAAGCCCAUAUAUGAUUAAAACACUAAUAAAAGAAGAGGUUAUGUAACUUACUAGAAAACACAGAUAAAGAGUGGAAGAAGCUCAAAAAUUAACUGAAAAAAUACAUAUGAAAUACCCAGAUUUAUAAAAUCAAAAGUAAAGAUUAAAAGAGGGUAAAAUUUCAACUCUGCCCACCUCGUAGAUAACCAAAGCUUUUGCACCCACAGAAACGUGAAAUUCAAAGAGCAACAUUAAAUUAUUUAAACAAAAUUAAGAAUUAUUUUUUUAAAAAUAAUCUAAUCUUUCCACAAGGAAAUUCCAAGCAUUACACUACAUUUAAAAGACACUACACUUAAAAGACAAGUCCUAAAACCCUAUUUUCUUUAUAAUGAAUUUACUGAUCUAUAUCAUCUGCUCCAAGCCUCCAACCACUGUUAUAGCAAUAACAAUAGUAAUGAGCAACACGGAUCAACAGGUUAUACAUAUCAUUUAAUAGACCAAACUUUAGCAAUCGAAUGUAUUUUAUUUUAUUUUUAAAAUUCAGAGAUUAAGUGGAGGUCGUUUGAUCAAAUUCAAUUACUAGAAAACAACUAAUGCAUUAUUAUUGACAAAAGCUUUAGCCUUUUAUUCCAAAAAUAAAAACUAAUGACUUUACAGCUGAAGUAAUAAUAGUUUUGGUCUUUUGGUGAGAAAUCCAUAAUUCUAGAGGCUACCCGAAGGUCAUUUUGUCAAACCCAAUUCACAGAACACAACUAGUGCAUUAUUAUUGAAGAAUGAAGAAUUCGUGACUUUACAACUUUAGUUAUCACAUUUCUGGCAUUAAAAAAAACAUAAAUUCAGACAUAAAUUGGAGGUCAUUUGGUGCAAUUGACAGAAACCAACAAGUGUACUAAUUAUAAUUAAAGAACCUAAAGCCAAUACUGCCCCAAAUAAUUCAAAAUCGUGAUUUCAAAAACAGAAGUUAUAACAUUUCAUGUUUCUUCAUAGAAACAAUUCGAACUCAAUAACAAAAUAGGUCCGAUUACAUUUACACAUCUAAACGACUAGAGAGUGGGAGAGUUAGGUCCAAUUUUGAAUUACCUGUUUCGAGUUGCGGCUUGUGUAGUUGCGUUAGGGCAAAUAGUGAGAGAGUCAGAGAAUACUAACUAGGGCAGGGCCACAGAGGAGUGGAGGCGGAGACGCCGGAUGCGAGAAGCCGGAGGUGGAACAGAGUAGCAACUCUCGAUUUGGGGACUGGGGUUUUUUGUUAGGGCACUAGGCAGAGAGUGAGAGAUGAAAGAUUUGAGAGCAACUCCAGCGGCACAAUCU
This 5014-nucleotide long non-coding RNA is filed under the name Panax ginseng (ginseng). Its description in RNAcentral is "long non-coding RNA (PGIN_LNC014958)". The record is from RNAcentral. Lineage: Eukaryota; Viridiplantae; Streptophyta; Magnoliopsida; Apiales; Araliaceae.